This 253-nucleotide ribosomal RNA is filed under the name uncultured bacterium. RNAcentral describes it as "partial 16S ribosomal RNA". It matches the Rfam family "Bacterial small subunit ribosomal RNA", at positions 524 to 776 of the family's 1533-position model. The record is from RNAcentral.
GACGGAGGGGGCAAGCGUUGUCCGGACUCACUGGGCGUAAAGGGUGCGCAGGCGGUAUGGUGCGUCGGCGCUGAAAGCGCCCGGCUUAACCGGGCGAGGUGCGCCGAUACGAUCAUACUCGAGCCUCUGAGAGGGUGGCGGUACUCCUGGUGUAGUGGUGAAAUGCGUAGAGAUCAGGAAGAACACCCGUGGCGCAAGCGGCCACCUGGCAGAGCGCUGACGCUGAGGCACGAAAGCGUGGGGAGCGAACCGG